AGUGGUUCUUAGGUGACGCACCCCAGAAUCAGGCUCCCUCCUCUCUGGUUCGGGUGCAUCACCUGAGAACCACA
Myotis brandtii (Brandt's bat) is the source of this 74-nucleotide non-coding RNA. The record is from Rfam. Lineage: Eukaryota; Metazoa; Chordata; Mammalia; Chiroptera; Vespertilionidae.